RNAcentral lists this ribosomal RNA (245 nucleotides) under uncultured Xanthobacter sp. RNAcentral describes it as "partial 16S ribosomal RNA". It matches the Rfam family "Bacterial small subunit ribosomal RNA", at positions 524 to 768 of the family's 1533-position model. Lineage: Bacteria; Pseudomonadati; Pseudomonadota; Alphaproteobacteria; Hyphomicrobiales; Xanthobacteraceae. The record is from RNAcentral.
UACGAAGGGGGCUAGCGUUGCUCGGAAUCACUGGGCGUAAAGCGCACGUAGGCGGGUCGUUAAGUCAGAGGUGAAAGCCUGGAGCUCAACUCCAGAACUGCCUUUGAUACUGGCGACCUCGAGUUCGAGAGAGGUUGGUGGAACUCCGAGUGUAGAGGUGAAAUUCGUAGAUAUUCGGAAGAACACCAGUGGCGAAGGCGGCCAACUGGCUCGAUACUGACGCUGAGGUGCGAAAGCGUGGGGAG